RNAcentral lists this ribosomal RNA (885 nucleotides) under Teratosphaeria eucalypti. RNAcentral's name for it is "eukaryotic LSU rRNA". It matches the Rfam family "Eukaryotic large subunit ribosomal RNA", at positions 41 to 958 of the family's 3401-position model. Lineage: Eukaryota; Fungi; Ascomycota; Dothideomycetes; Mycosphaerellales; Teratosphaeriaceae. The record is from RNAcentral.
UAUCAAUAAGCGGAGGAAAAGAAACCAACAGGGAUUGCCCUAGUAACGGCGAGUGAAGCGGCAACAGCUCAAAUUUGAAAUCUGGCGCAAGCCCGAGUUGUAAUUUGCAGAGGAUGCUUCAGGGCAGCGGCCGGUCUAAGUUCCUUGGAACAGGACGUCGUAGAGGGUGAGAAUCCCGUAUGCGACCGGUUGGCACCCGUCACGUAGCUCCUUCGACGAGUCGAGUUGUUUGGGAAUGCAGCUCUAAAUGGGAGGUAAAUUUCUUCUAAAGCUAAAUACCGGCCAGAGACCGAUAGCGCACAAGUAGAGUGAUCGAAAGAUGAAAAGCACUUUGGAAAGAGAGUUAAAAAGCACGUGAAAUUGUUGAAAGGGAAGCGCAUGCCACCAGACUUGUCGGCGGUGUUCCGCCGGUCUUCUGACCGGUCCACUCGCCGCCGGCAGGCCAGCAUCAUCUGGGCGCGCCGGACAAAGGCGUGGGGAAUGUAGCUCCUCGGAGUGUUAUAGCCCCGCGCACAAUACGGCGCCGCCCGGGUGAGGUCCGCGCUUCGGCUAGGAUGCUGGCGUAAUGGUGGCCUGCGGCCCGUCUUGAAACACGGACCAAGGAGUCUAACAUCUAUGCGAGUGUUUGGGUGUCAAACCCCGGCGCGGAAUGAAAGUGAACGGAGGUGGGAAGCGCAAGCUGCACCAUCGACCGAUCCUGAUGUCUUCGGAUGGAUUUGAGUAAGAGCAUAGCUGUUGGGACCCGAAAGAUGGUGAACUAUGCCUGAAUAGGGUGAAGCCAGAGGAAACUCUGGUGGAGGCUCGCAGCGGUUCUGACGUGCAAAUCGAUCGUCAAAUUUGGGUAUAGGGGCGAAAGACUAAUCGAACCAUCUAGUAGCUGGUUCC